GACGAACGCUGGCGGCGUGCUUAACACAUGCAAGUCGAACGGAAAGGCCCUGCUUUUGUGGGGUGCGCGAGUGGCGAACGGGUGAGUAACACGUGAGUAACCUGCCCUUGACUUUGGGAUAACGUCAGGAAACUGGGGCUAAUACCGGAUAGGAGCUCCUGCGGCAUGGUGGGGGUUGGAAAGUUUCGGCGGUUGGGGAUGGACUCGCGGCUUAUCAGCUUGUUGGUGGUGUAGUGGCUUACCAAGGCUUUGACGGGUAGCCGGCCUGAGAGGGUGACCGGCCACAUUGGGACUGAGGUACGGCCCAGACUCCUACGGGAGGCAGCAGUGGGGAAUAUUGCACAAUGGGCGGAAGCCUGCUGCAGCAACGCCGCGUGCGGGAUGACGGCCUUCGGGUUGUCAACCGCUUUCGCCUGUGACGAAGCGUGAGUGACGGUAAUGGGUAAAGAAGCACCGGCUAACUACGUG
Molecule: ribosomal RNA, 468 nt
Filed under: uncultured bacterium
Lineage: Bacteria
Description: partial 16S ribosomal RNA
Rfam family: Bacterial small subunit ribosomal RNA
Source: RNAcentral